RNAcentral lists this small RNA (762 nucleotides) under Homo sapiens (human). RNAcentral's name for it is "long intergenic non-protein coding RNA 3019 (ENSG00000285506.1)". The record is from RNAcentral. Lineage: Eukaryota; Metazoa; Chordata; Mammalia; Primates; Hominidae.
CCAUGCUUUCAGCACUACUGGCAAGCAAAGUGUUCACUGAUGAAUGAACAAUUACAUUUACCCACAGACUGAAAUAUGAUGUUAUUUUGUUUUGACUGAAAUUCCAACUCACUGUGAGAAUACUGUGAAAAAAAUCAUGAGAAGUAUCCUCAUAGGUGAGUCUUUUCACACAUCUGCACUAGUGAAUAUCUGAAUUUUAAAAGCCACUCCAGACCUACAUAGGUGAUGAACGAUGUGUACUUGAAAACAGUACACUCUUGCACAGCUGUCCCUGGAGCUUCCCCGUGGAGCUGUUAAACUUGCCCUCCGCUGGCUGUUUUCCACAAAGUAAUAUGGUUACAUAGAUUCACGGCUCAUGGCAAUGUUUCAUUAAGACAGUUCUUGAUGGCCGCUCCACACCUUUCUCACCACAUCUCACAGGCUGCCCUGCUGAGCCAGGUCUCCCUGGAACCCGGGGCUCCUGCGCAGGCCCCCAUUUUGCUCCAGAACACCCAGGAAGGCGGGGCUUGGGCUGGAAUGGGGACACCGAUUACCCUCUGUUCAGGCCUUUGGUGCCAGCUGAGGUCGAUACUGGUGCCAGGAUCGAGACUGUGCCCAUCCCAUCGAGAGCGGGCAGAUGUGGGGGCGCACUGGACCGGGCCUCCCAGGCUGACACCCAUUCGCAGCAGCCUGAGCCUAAUCCGCCACUGCUCGCCUUCCUCCGACGUCUCCACCUAAACCAUCCUUCUGCACAUUGUGACCCAUCACUCCGCCCUUUGUCCA